ACUUAUUGGACCCGGGGGCGGUACCCGGCGCCUCCACCAAAAUAUAAUACAAAAUUAUACUUUGAUGGGGGCGAAAUAGGAUCGACAAGAGUGUAAAGAUUGCUCUUUUACUCGGCAUAGUACCACCGUUAUCGGGCUAAAUGAGUAGUUGCAAAUGACAACUAUGCGGAAGCACGUCUCGCCGCUUAAGGUGGUGUGAAUGCUUCAAAUUAAGCCUUAAACCGUCGCAGGUUUAAGCGGGGUUCGGAGG
Molecule: transfer-messenger RNA, 250 nt
Filed under: uncultured Bartonella sp.
Lineage: Bacteria; Pseudomonadati; Pseudomonadota; Alphaproteobacteria; Hyphomicrobiales; Bartonellaceae
Description: partial ssrA
Rfam family: Alphaproteobacteria transfer-messenger RNA
About the family: Bacterial tmRNA, also known as 10Sa RNA or SsrA, is named for its dual tRNA and mRNA-like properties. Its role is to liberate the mRNA from a stalled ribosome. To accomplish this part of the tmRNA is used as a reading frame that ends in a translation stop signal.
Source: RNAcentral